This 324-nucleotide ribosomal RNA is filed under the name uncultured eukaryote. RNAcentral describes it as "partial 18S ribosomal RNA". It matches the Rfam family "Eukaryotic small subunit ribosomal RNA", at positions 1470 to 1796 of the family's 1831-position model. The record is from RNAcentral.
CCCUUAGAUGUUCUGGGCUGCACGCGCGCUACACUGACGCACGCAACAGGUGCCUGCUCCGAGAGGACUGGGUAAUCAUUUGAGUGUGCGUCGUGAUGGGGAUAGAAUAUUGUAAUUAUUACUCUUCAACGAGGAAUUCCUAGUAAGCGCCAGUCAGCAGCUUGCGCUGAUUACGUCCCUGCCCUUUGUACACACCGCCCGUCGCUACUACCGAUUGAAUGAUUUAGUGAGUACCAGGGACCGAGCGCUUUGGUUGGGUUUCCUUCCCUAGCGCUUGGGAACUGUCGCAAACUUGACCAUUUAGAGGAAGUAAAAGUCGUAACA